GGGCACAUGGCCAAGAGAAGGGGUCCCUUCCCCAGCUUCAGAAUUUUCAUUUCUCCAAUUUCUUUCCUCUCUCAAGAAACCUUGCCCUAACUUAAGCUCUCACUUCUCUCUAGAUUUCCAGCAUAUUCCACCGUUAGAGUUGUGAUUUGAUUGCAUAUUAUUGCUCCUGGAGUCAAGGGCUACGAAACCAUCCGAUUGGUUUCUCGUUUCGUUGGGUAAGAAAAUUUCUCCUAUUCUUCUUUUCUGUUCUUGAACUAGAGCAACCAAUUUUUCUGGUUGCAUGUAUUUUCCACAUUUUUCUUUUUCUUUCCAUUAUAUUCCAGCUCUAAAAAGUUUGUCCUAUCACCAAAUUGGUGAUUUCUAGGUUCUGUUCAUUUUCGAACGUUGUAAGAGGGUACUGUAGAGCAUCUGUGAACUACAUUAAGCAUCCCACCAGGUAAGGGGAGUUAGUUAUAUUUCUUUGAAUUGUUUAUAUGUUAUGUAUGUAUGGUGAAUUUAAUUUGGUGUGCUGUUUUGGAAUUUCAUGUUAAGUUUUAUGAGAUAUUGGGGAAGAGAGAAGGGGUCCUGGAGUUUCAAGGUGGUCACUAUUACAAAUUUUUCUUUUGCUUAGGUUAGAUAAGAGGAAAAAGGGUGUGAUUGCGCAUGGAAAACAAAAUACACAUUAUUACCGUAAUGCGCUAUUGUGUGUGAAUGAACAUUGUGCUGAGAGGGAUAAAUGCAAUUAAAUAGAGAAAAUAUGGGUGCAGUGGAAUAUGUAUAAAUGAAAGAAAAGAGAAGAGAGCAAUAAAGUUUUAUGAGUGUAGUUUAGGUGUUAAGCAUGGAAGCGUGUACAGGGGUAGUUGUAGAGGUAGGGGAACUAAUUGUUGUAUAUGAGUGGGUCCGUGAAAAGAGAUAGUAGGAAGGGGUAUAGGUAGGUUUAUUAUGUUACAGUGGGUGUUGAAGGAAAAAGGAGACGGUUACAUCUUAUUUUUUUUUUUUGUUCCAGGUUUGAAUGGAUACAUGAGAAAUAAUAUGGAAAAUGGGUAUUUUAAUAUUCUAUUUCAUUGGAGAAUGGUUAUUAAUAUAGACAUAGGUGAAUGAUGUGGUGGCAGGUUGAAUGUGAAUUGGAAAGUCAAGUUUUAGGUGAGAAAAAGAAGAUAGAAAAGAGAAAUGGGUAGAGAAUUAGGGUGUAAACUCACUGUGACACGUUGCAGUAUUAAUGGAAUAAAAGUUUUGGAGUGUUAUGGAGAAUGAAGAGUGAUGUACGAAAUGGAUAAAGUUUGUGAUUGGGAAAGUUGUAAAUGGUGGGCCAUGAGUGGUUAAAACAAGUGAGGUAGAGAUAUAUGGAUGGGUUGUUUAUUCAGGGGAUGGAAUUUUGCAUAGAAGUUACAUGGGAAGAAAGAUAUAAGGUUUUAUAAAACAAAAAGGGGAAGAGGGAGUUAAAAGAAAAAAAAAAAAAAACAAAGUUGCUGGAAUGAGAAAAGGUAAGAUAAUGUAUGAUAUUAAUAUGUUAAUAUAAAGUAUAUAUAUAUAAAAGCUGCAGGAAUUUUGUAUGUUAACAAAUUAUAUUAAUAUAAUAUAGUUAUAAAUAUAUAGUAGUAACAGUAUGAUAUUAACUUAGUACGUAUUAUAUUAAAUGGUAUUAAUAUAAUAUAGUUAUAUAUAUAAAAUUAGUAAGUACGUAUGAUAUAGAUUAUGUUAAUAUAUAUAUAUAUAUAUAUAUAUAUAUAUAUAUAUAUAUUUGUUUAUUUAUUUAUAAGGUAUGUAUAAAUUGAUGUAUU
RNAcentral lists this long non-coding RNA (1760 nucleotides) under Vigna radiata. RNAcentral's name for it is "long non-coding RNA (VRAD_LNC002438)". Lineage: Eukaryota; Viridiplantae; Streptophyta; Magnoliopsida; Fabales; Fabaceae. The record is from RNAcentral.